This 254-nucleotide ribosomal RNA is filed under the name uncultured bacterium. RNAcentral describes it as "partial 16S ribosomal RNA". It matches the Rfam family "Bacterial small subunit ribosomal RNA", at positions 524 to 777 of the family's 1533-position model. The record is from RNAcentral.
UACGAAGGGGGCUAGCGUUGCUCGGAAUCACUGGGCGUAAAGCGCACGUAGGCGGCUUUUUAAGUCAGAGGUGAAAUCCUGGAGCUCAACUCCAGAACUGCCUUUGAUACUGAGAGGCUUGAGUCCGGGAGAGGUGAGUGGAACUGCGAGUGUAGAGGUGAAAUUCGUAGAUAUUCGCAAGAACACCAGUGGCGAAGGCGGCUCACUGGCCCGGUACUGACGCUGAGGUGCGAAAGCGUGGGGAGCAAACAGGG